Non-coding RNA from Eumeta japonica, 71 nucleotides. Lineage: Eukaryota; Metazoa; Arthropoda; Insecta; Lepidoptera; Psychidae. The record is from the annotation of a GenBank genome assembly.
GGUAGCCUGGCCGAGCGGCCUAAGGCGCCAUUUUGACUUCGGAGACGUGGGUUCGAAUCCCACCGCUGCCU